UACGAAGGGGGCUAGCGUUGCUCGGAAUCACUGGGCGUAAAGGGUGCGUAGGCGGGGCUUUAAGUCAGGGGUGAAAUCCUGGAGUUCAACUCCAGAACUGCCUUUGAUACUGAAGAUCUUGAGUUCGGGAGAGGUGAGUGGAACUGCGAGUGUAGAGGUGAAAUUCGUAGAUAUUCGCAAGAACACCAGUGGCGAAGGCGGCUCACUGGCCCGAUACUGACGCUGAGGCACGAAAGCGUGGGGAGCAAACAGG
RNAcentral lists this ribosomal RNA (253 nucleotides) under uncultured bacterium. RNAcentral describes it as "partial 16S ribosomal RNA". It matches the Rfam family "Bacterial small subunit ribosomal RNA", at positions 524 to 776 of the family's 1533-position model. The record is from RNAcentral.